UACGGAGGGUGCAAGCGUUAAUCGGAAUUACUGGGCGUAAAGCGCACGCAGGCGGUCUGUCAAGUCGGAUGUGAAAUCCCCGGGCGCAACCUGGGAACUGCCUUCGAAACUGGCAGGCUUGAGUCUCGUAGAGGGGGGGAGAAUUCCAGGUGUAGCGGUGAAAUGCGUAGAGAUCUGGAGGAAGACCGGUGGAGAAGGCGGCACACGGGACGAAGACUGACGAUCAGGUGCGAAAGCGUGGGGAGCAAACAGGAUUAGAGACCCACGUAGUCC
RNAcentral lists this ribosomal RNA (273 nucleotides) under uncultured bacterium. RNAcentral's name for it is "partial 16S ribosomal RNA". It matches the Rfam family "Bacterial small subunit ribosomal RNA", at positions 524 to 796 of the family's 1533-position model. The record is from RNAcentral.